RNAcentral lists this ribosomal RNA (585 nucleotides) under uncultured bacterium. Its description in RNAcentral is "partial 16S ribosomal RNA". It matches the Rfam family "Bacterial small subunit ribosomal RNA", at positions 355 to 1375 of the family's 1533-position model. The record is from RNAcentral.
UGGGGAAUUUUGGACAAUGGGCGAAAGCCUGAUCCAGCAAUGCCGCGUGUGUGAAGAAGGCCUUCGGGUUGUAAAGCACUUUUGUCCGGAAAGAAAUCCUUGGCUCUAAUACAGUCGGGGGAUGACGGUACCGGAAGAAUAAGCACCGGCUAACUACGUGCCAGCAGCCGCGGUAAUACGUAGGGUGCAAGCGUUAAUCGGAAUUACUGGGCGUAAAGCGUGCGCAGGCGGUUUGCUAAGACCGAUGUGAAAUCCCCGGGCUCAACCUGGGAACUGCAUUGGUGACUGGCAGGCUAGAGUAUGGCAGAGGGGGGUAGAAUUCCACGUGUAGCAGUGAAAUGCGUAGAGAUGUGGAGGAAUACCGAUGGCGAAGGCAGCCCCAUGGGCCAAUACUGACGCUCAUGCACGAAAGCGUGGGGAGCAAACAGGAUUAGAUACCCUGGUAGUCCACGCCCUAAAACGAUGUCAACUAGUUGUUGGGGAUUCAUUUCCUUAGUAACGUAGCUAACGCGUGAAGCUGACCGCCUGGGGAUACGGUCGCAAGAUUAAAACUCAAAUGAAUUGACGGGGUCAUAGCUGUUUCCU